UACGUAGGGCGCAAGCGUUGUCCGGAAUUAUUGGGCGUAAAGAGCUCGUAGGCGGUUUGUCGCGUCUGCUGUGAAAACCUAAGGCUCAACCUUGGGCUUGCAGUGGGUACGGGCAGACUAGAGUGUGGUAGGGGAGACUGGAAUUCCUGGUAUAGCGGUGGGAUGCGCAGAUAUCAGGAGGAACACCGAUGGCGAAGGCAGGUCUCUGGGCCAUUAACUGACACUGAGAAG
RNAcentral lists this ribosomal RNA (231 nucleotides) under uncultured bacterium. RNAcentral's name for it is "partial 16S ribosomal RNA". It matches the Rfam family "Bacterial small subunit ribosomal RNA", at positions 524 to 753 of the family's 1533-position model. The record is from RNAcentral.